AGAGUUUGAUCCUGGCUCAGGAUGAACGCUAGCGGCAGGCUUAAUACAUGCAAGUCGUGGGGCAGCACAGGUAGCAAUACUGGGUGGCGACCGGCAAACGGGUGCGGAACACGUACGCAACCUUCCUUCAAGUGGGGGAUAGCCCAGGGAAACUUGGAUUAAUACCCCGUAAUAUUAUGAGGUGGCAUCAUCUUAUAAUUAAAGCUACGGCGCUUGGAGAUGGGCGUGCGGCUGAUUAGGUAGUUGGCGGAGUAAUAGCCCACCAAGCCUUCGAUCAGUAACUGGUGUGAGAGCACGACCAGCCACACGGGCACUGAGACACGGGCCCGACUCCUACGGGAGGCAGCAGUAAGGAAUAUUGGUCAAUGGACGCAAGUCUGAACCAGCCAUGCCGCGUGGAGGAUGAAGGCCCUCUGGGUUGUAAACUUCUUUUAUCUGGGAAGAAACCCAUCUUUUCUAAGGUGGUUGACGGUACCAGUUGAAUAAGCACCGGCUAACUCCGUGCCAGCAGCCGCGGUAAUACGGAGGGUGCAAGCGUUAUCCGGAUUCACUGGGUUUAAAGGGUGCGUAGGUGGGCAGGUAAGUCAGUGGUGAAAUCUCCGGGCUUAACCCGGAAACUGCCGUUGAUACUAUCUGUCUUGAAUAUCGUGGAGGUGAGCGGAAUAUGUCAUGUAGCGGUGAAAUGCUUAGAUAUGACAUAGAACAUCAAUUGCGAAGGCAGCUCGCUACACGGUUAUUGACACUGAGGCACGAAAGCGUGGGGAUCAAACAGGAUUAGAUACCCUGGUAGUCCACGCCCUAAACGAUGAUUACUCGACAUGUGCGAUACACUGUACGUGUCUGAGCGAAAGCAUUAAGUAAUCCACCUGGGAAGUACGACCGCAAGGUUGAACUCAAGGAAUUGACGGGGUCCGCACAAGCGGUGGAGCAUGUGGUUUAAUUCGAUGAUACGCGAGGAACCUUACCUGGGCUAGAAUGCUGGUGGACCGAGGGUGAAAGCCCC
This 1003-nucleotide ribosomal RNA is filed under the name uncultured bacterium. Its description in RNAcentral is "bacterial SSU rRNA". It matches the Rfam family "Bacterial small subunit ribosomal RNA", at positions 8 to 1011 of the family's 1533-position model. The record is from RNAcentral.